AUGACAAGGCCAAAAUCUUGUCGAGGUCUCGGCUUUCGAGAUAUUGAACUCUUUAAACUUGCCUUGCUAGGCCGUCAGGCUUGGCGCAUAUUGAUGGACCCAUCUUUUCUAAGCGUGAGAACACUAAAGGCUAAAUACUUUCCUACUUCAGAUUUUCUUAAUGCUGAGCUUGGGAAUUCCCCUUCGCAAAUCUGGCGAUAGAUAUUGGAUGGUAGGGGCACCAUGAAACAGGGCCUUACAAGCAGAGUAGAGGACAGGACAUCCACGCCGAUCUGGCAGCAUAACUGGAUUCCCCGGGACAUUAAUAUGUGGCCCAUUGUAAGUAAUAUACUGGACCCGCCCCAAGUGGUGGCCGAACUGAUCAUAGUGGAUGCAUCGUGGGACAUGGACAAGCUAGCUCAAACUUUCCUGCCUACAUAUGUACAAGCUAUUGCUUAUAUUCCCCUAUGCACAUGUCAGGUGGAUGAUUUCUGGUCUUGGACCUAUGUGAAGAGCGGGUUUUUUUCCAGUUCGCUCGGUCUAUAG
This 525-nucleotide ribosomal RNA is filed under the name Triticum aestivum (bread wheat). Its description in RNAcentral is "partial small subunit ribosomal RNA". Lineage: Eukaryota; Viridiplantae; Streptophyta; Magnoliopsida; Poales; Poaceae. The record is from RNAcentral.